This is a long non-coding RNA of Pan paniscus (pygmy chimpanzee), 528 nucleotides long. Lineage: Eukaryota; Metazoa; Chordata; Mammalia; Primates; Hominidae. The record is from Ensembl.
UUUAUUUUUCAGAGUCCUCAAGUAGUUGCUUUUUGUACUUCGAAUAAAGACUUUAGUCAUAGUAGGAGAGAUAGACUGUAAUGGACUUACUUCACCAUGGCUGCACCAGAGGUUCCAAGAACAAUGGCUUUCAACUUCAACCCACAUCUACAACACACCACUGUAGUCAUACCCUACACCCUGUGGUUAUCCAGUUGUGAGUCCUAUUGGAGAGGAUGAGUUCCUCACCCCUAAAACACAAAGACAAAUGGCAGUUUGGAGGUAAAAUGUUUGCUGAGCAACACAAAGCUUUAGAGUGAAUGCCCAAAGAUCUUUGCCAUCACCUUCUCUUCUGCAGAUAAUGCAGUGACUGGGAGAGGAGAAGGGAGAAAUGUGAGCUGUCACUUAUGAUUUGCAUGCAUCUGAAUACACAUUGUAUACACACUAACUCAAAGUGGUUCACGAGAUAUUCCCAUUAACUCGCGGUGAUGGCAUCUGCAUUUUAUAAUGUCAAAGGAGCUCACUGGAAAUAAUAGACUUGAGAAUAAC